Molecule: non-coding RNA, 839 nt
Organism: Danio rerio (zebrafish)
Lineage: Eukaryota; Metazoa; Chordata; Actinopteri; Cypriniformes; Danionidae
Source: RefSeq, a predicted model, not a curated record
AAAUAAAGAAAUUAAAAUAAGGCGGUUUUAAGAAGGCUCAGGGGGUGUUUUAUUUUAUUGUGAGCCUUUUAUUUUUAUCUGACCAAAAUUAAUACACACCAUGUUAAUUAUUGCAUUUGACUACAUAAUAAUAAUAAUAAUAGAGUGGAAGAAAUAAUACUAUGAUUGUUUGAAAUGCGUUUAGCUAAAUGGCAUAUCGUCUAUUUUAGAUAAUGAUCGUUAACACCAUUUUUUAAAUCAGUUUAGCCUACCUUUAUUUGAUUGCUGUUCAUUUGUUGUUGAAAUACGGCUUAGAUUGGAAAUAUUUUUACUAUUCGAUCAUGCACCGUCCUCAUGUAAUCAAUAUCAUAUUCUUUAAAAUGUUACUCUCAAAUAAAUUAAGCUAUAGCUUUGAAAAAAUUUAUGUCAAAUAGAAACGAGAGGUGCAAAAGCUUAAAUCCGCCAUAAAAUGAAUAAAGAAAAAAUAACAACAACAAAAACAAGUGUACUUGCAUUAGUAUGCACUUGGACAACGUGGUCAAAUUCAAGGAAUCGACUCUUUCGUUUUCGAAACUUCAUCACUAUUGCGCAUGUUUCCUCAAAGCAUCACACUCAGCACGUAGAAGACACCAGUCCACGCGGGAAUACUGAGGCCUCUUUUAUCUCCUCUUCCACACCAGUUGAGCUGUUUGGCCACUGGACCAAACACUUUGGAGGCUACACGCCAAAUGGUUUUUUUCAGAGUUUGUCCUCCUCUGAUGGAUAACCUCUUCAUCUUAAAAAUAAAAGCUAAUUGCCUUUCCAGUUGUUCAAGGUCCUCAAUUGUUUCAAUAGGAAAGGUGUCAUCCUCAGUGUCCACC